GCAUACCUUAUAUCCAGGACCGACACCUUCGAAACCAAGUUUUACAUGGUAAUAAUAACUCCACAGGCAAAGUAGCACCCCGCACCCUAUGACCCUAGUGACCAGGUUUUCAUUCCCAUUUACACAACCCCACGAAGACAUUAAAAAAAGGAUGGGGUUUAAUGAGUCAGCCCACUCAAACGAUACAUGUGUCAGGCCCCUCUUAAACCAGUGGAUUUUUAAUUUAAAAUUUUAACGGAUUCAUGAUCUAGGUCAAGAUGAUCGUGAACAUAAAAAAUAAAAUCAAUUUUUGAUAUUUAAAAUGUGAUUUUUUUUAAAAAAAUUCUGCCCUGCAUAAGCCUAAUGAAUCACCACGCUCUUGCACCCGCUGACUCAUGAGAGACUUCCCAUUAAAAAAGGACCUAACUCCUAAAAUUAUUUUAAAAAGGGUGCAGUUAGCAUACGGAUGGAUGCAUCCGUAGCCGUAGAGGUAAGACGCACCUUCAAAUUUUAUUAUAAUUUUGUUGUAAAGUGUUCUGAUUAUCUUAAAUUUUAUUUUUAUAUUUAAUUAUAAAAUUUUAAAUUUCAAAAAUAGUUAAAAUCAAGUAGAAUAUAAAAAUCUUAAAAAAAAAAGGUGUAAAUAAUAUGUUGUAAAAUACACUAUUUUUUAAACUUAAUUUUUUUUUAUUUUUCAUGAUCAUACAUCUCGAGUCAAUCAAAGGUUUUUCAACAUUAAAUCUACGUUUUUAGAUGGAUUUUUUAGGUGCAUCAGUAGUUCUACAUAUAAAAGUUGCAAUCUAAUAUAAACUUUUUCCUCCAAAAAAAAAAAAAAAGCGGCCUUCUUCCCCAGCGACUUAUAAUAAAAAAAAAAAAUCACUCCGCGGCUUCAGCUUAAAUGCAUGGUAACUUAAAAGUAAAUUCAACUCCAUGAAGGAGGCACAACAACAAAUACAAUAAAUGACAGAGUCCCCAAAAAUAGAGAAGAUAAACAAGAAAAUUUCUGGAUGGGGCAGGGUACGGAACCCACCAGCCCACAAAACCGCUUGCCCUUACUGCUCCAAUACAUCUCAAUAUUUACAACAAAACAUAGCAAAACACCCCUAAAUUUUUCUUCAAUUUUUUUUUUGGGGUGUGGGAGAUUAAGUAAAAAAAAACCCUAAUUAAAAGACCAAACUCAAAAGACCCCUAAAUUGUUCUCAUAUAUAUAUGAGAACAAUGAAUGGAUUUUUCCUACAUAUGAAGAACAACAGAUGGAAGGAACAUAAAUUACAGAACGAUGGUGGUUUCAGGGAAUUGAAAAGCCCCUUCGCCACCGUGAAAGACAUCAAGGGAAGACACCGAGGAGAGGGGGCCGAACCGGGAAAAAGCUGUAACCGCCGGACGAGCUUUCCGCCAUGUCCCUCUGAAACAAUUGCUUUGCCUCUUCUAAAAUUAGGAAGAAGCAUCGAAUCAGGGCGCUCCCCAGCCUCAAAUAUAUCUCCAGCCUCUGCAUAUUUCCUUCCUCUCACAAAAAAUGAAUAAGAGGGAGAAAAGUAUGGAAAAUUAGAGAGAGUGUGUGGUUGGGAAGGAUGAGGAAUGAAAUCUAGAGAGAGAAAGUGGGGUUGGAAGAAUGCUUGGUUUGUGGAGAAGGCGGGGAUUUAUAAUGAGGGCAGCAAACCUUUGGAGAGGUGCCGAGGUCACUGUUCCUUGUUCAGAGCUCUAACCCUCGUUGAAGAUGACGUUAUUGUGGGGUCUGGAUUCCUCUUCAAUUAUAUUUAAGUUUUGCUUUAAAUAAGGAAAAAUGGAUUAAAAAAGGGUAGGUGUGGGUGGAGUGAAAAAAGUGUGAAAAAUUUGGAGUCGGUUGGCCGCACGUCACUUGGUCUUUU
Molecule: long non-coding RNA, 1844 nt
Filed under: Amborella trichopoda
Lineage: Eukaryota; Viridiplantae; Streptophyta; Magnoliopsida; Amborellales; Amborellaceae
Description: long non-coding RNA (ATRI_LNC003206)
Source: RNAcentral